GAUCUAACACUAGUGAUGGAGCAUGUGGUUUAAUGCGAUAAUCCGCGCAAAACCUUACCAAUUCUUGACAUAAUUAAAUAUUAUAUAAAUAAAUUUAUUGUUUAGAUGUAUAAAAUUUUAUUACAGGUGUUGCACGGCUGUCGUCAGAUCGUGUCGUGAGAUGUUUGGUUCAGUCCUGAAACGAUCGCAACUCUUAUUUUUAAAUUUGUUUUUAACGUAGUAAAAAUUUUAAUCAUUAAAAUUUUUUAGAUGCUUUAAAAAUACGGUCAAUGAUAAGUUGAAGGAAGGUAAGAAUUAAGUCAAGUCAAUGUGACCCUAAUGAAUUGGGCUACACAUGUGCUACAAUGGAAAUUACAAAAAGUAAACAAAAAGAAAUUUUGAGUUAAUCAAUAAAAAUUUUCCCAGUUCGGAUUGUAGAUUGCAACUCGUCUACAUCAAGUUGGAAUCACUAGUAAUCG
RNAcentral lists this ribosomal RNA (458 nucleotides) under uncultured bacterium. RNAcentral describes it as "bacterial SSU rRNA". It matches the Rfam family "Bacterial small subunit ribosomal RNA", at positions 924 to 1344 of the family's 1533-position model. The record is from RNAcentral.